This 497-nucleotide ribosomal RNA is filed under the name uncultured bacterium. RNAcentral describes it as "partial 16S ribosomal RNA". It matches the Rfam family "Bacterial small subunit ribosomal RNA", at positions 28 to 507 of the family's 1533-position model. The record is from RNAcentral.
GAUGAACGCUGGCGGCGUGCCUAAUACAUGCAAGUCGAGCGAACAGACGAGGAGCUUGCUCCUCUGACGUUAGCGGCGGACGGGUGAGUAACACGUGGAUAACCUACCUAUAAGACUGGGAUAACUUCGGGAAACCGGAGCUAAUACCGGAUAAUAUAUUGAACCGCAUGGUUCAAUAGUGAAAGACGGUUUUGCUGUCACUUAUAGAUGGAUCCGCGCCGCAUUAGCUAGUUGGUAAGGUAACGGCUUACCAAGGCAACGAUGCGUAGCCGACCUGAGAGGGUGAUCGGCCACACUGGAACUGAGACACGGUCCAGACUCCUACGGGAGGCAGCAGUAGGGAAUCUUCCGCAAUGGGCGAAAGCCUGACGGAGCAACGCCGCGUGAGUGAUGAAGGUCUUCGGAUCGUAAAACUCUGUUAUUAGGGAAGAACAAAUGUGUAAGUAACUAUGCAUGUCUUAACGGUACCUAAUCAGAAAGCCACGGCUAACUACGUG